Molecule: RNA transcript, 4375 nt
Organism: Mauremys mutica (yellowpond turtle)
Lineage: Eukaryota; Metazoa; Chordata; Testudines; Geoemydidae
Gene: ATAT1
Gene name: alpha tubulin acetyltransferase 1
Exons: 11
Source: RefSeq, a predicted model, not a curated record
GCGAGCAGCAGGACCCGGAUGCCGGCGGGCUAUGGAGUUCCCCUUCGAUGUGGACGCGCUGCUCGGGGAGCGGGUCACGGCGGUGGACCAACACCUCCAGCCGCCGGGCCGCCGGGGGCCUGGCUACACCGCGACCCACAGGGUGGAUCUGCAGCAGCAGCUCAUGACCAUCAUAGACGAGAUGGGCAAGGCCUCGGCCAAGGCCCAGAACCUGCCGGCCCCAAUCACCAGCGCCUCGCGGAUGCAGACAAACCACCACGUUCUCUACAUCCUGAAGGACAAUGAAGUGAAGAGAGCGGGGAAAGGGGCCAUAAUCGGCUUCCUCAAGGUUGGCUACAAGAAGCUCUUCCUGCUGGAUCGCCAUGGGGCUCACAAUGAGGCGGAGCCGCUGUGCGUGCUGGACUUCUAUAUCCACGAGUCGCUGCAGAGGCACGGCUACGGCAAGGAGCUCUUCCAGUGCAUGCUGCAGCGCGAGCGAGUGCAGCCCCACCAGCUGGCCGUGGACCGCCCCUCGGAGAAACUCCUCUGCUUCCUCCGCAAGCACUACAACCUGCAGGGGACCAUCCCCCAGGUGAACAACUUCGUGAUCUUCGAGGGCUUCUUUGCCGACCAGCAUGCUCCGGUGAGGAAGUUGCCUCCAAAGCGUGCUGAGGAGGAGAUAAAACCCUACUCUCUAACAGACCGAGAGUUCCUGAAGGAGGAGGUGGAGCCACCCUGGCCCUUCAACCAGUCGCAUUCGCUGACCCGCUCCAGCAGCCUGGGGAACUCGCCAGUUCGCACCUGCCUCAAGCCCUUCCUCAACGAGCAGGAGCUGCUGCGGAACCUGCGCCUCUGCCCCCCGCACGCGGCCGCCCACCACCUGCUCAACGGCGAGCAGGGCGGGCCGGCCGCCCAGAGGCGGAGAACCAGCUCCCUCACCCGCUCGGAAAACACCAGCCAUUGACAUCGCCGCUGUGUCCCCCACCCUCGCCCCGGCUUGGUCGUCCAUUUGUGUCUUGAGAUCUUGGCGAGAGGCGGGGUUUCAGCCCCAUCGCUCCUCUCCAGCCCUUUUUUAUAUGCUUGGGGGUGGGUGCUGGCGCAGACGCCGGGUUAUUUCUGGGGCCCAGUGGGUGUUUUUCCUGGGCUGCUUGUUUUUCUAUGGAAUUAUCCUAAAGCACCCUCCGAAGAGGGAUCCGCUCCCGUUAGCACGGUAGCUCCCCCCUGCCCCCUUUUUAAAAAAUAUGCAUAUGUUGUACUUUGGAUCCAGUGGGAAAUCUGGUUCUGAUCGUCCCGCCCGUGCCAGAUCUCAAAACGGGAUCCGCUGCUUGGUGACAGAUCAGAUCCUCCCUCCUUGUGUUUGUCUGUAGGUGGAUUUAAAGAAAAGGAUCCAUUGCAAAUUGGCAACUGCAGACUCAGAAAUAGGACCCCCUUGUUUGUCUUGGGAUCUAACUGGGAUCCACUAUAGAUUGCCAGUGGACUCAAACUAGAUCUCCUCAAGCCACUCUAGAAUCAGGUCCCCUUGCAGGUCACCACUGGCUUACUUAAGGAUAGAAUCCAUGUGUGUUCCUUAGUGGGUGGAUCUAAAAGCGACCUACUAAUUUGCUGACUUAAGGGGAUCCCUUUAUUUUUCUGAGUGGCUGGAUCUAAAAGGGAUCACCAAAUGCUAACCUCAUAAUCAGAAAUAGGAUCCCCUUAUGUUUCUCGAUGGAUCUAAGUGGGAUCCAAUGUGGGUGGAGUCUAGAGCAAGGUGCCCCUUGUGGUUCAUGCUUACUGGAUUUAAAGGGUCUACUGCUGAUCACCAGUUACCGGUUUUGUUUCUUAAUUGGUGGAUCUAAAAGGGAUCUGCUGCAGGUCACCAAUUCCUGGUUUUAAAAUGAGAUCCCAUGUGAUUUGCUGUUGGUGGAUUUAAAAAGAUCCAUGCUUGCCCACCAACAAGACUCUGAAAUAAAGUCCCUUUGUCUUGUGUGGUUGCUGGAUCUAAAAGGGAUCUGCUGCCGAUUACCAGUUGCUGGCUUCAAAAUAUGACUCCUUCCUUGUUUCCCAGUGGCUGGAUCUAAAAGAGAUCCAGUGCAGAUCAUCAGUAGCUGACUCCAGAAUAAGAUCUGCUUCUGUAGUUCUCUUGAGUGGGUUAGAAAGGGAUGUGCUUCAUGCUGCCAACUACUGAAACCAAACUAAGAUUCUUUGGUGGAUCUGAAACGGGGCCCACCUUAGCAACACCCAAGACCGACAGGCUCCGCCGGCCUCAAAGGCCGGCCUCCAAAGGCGAUCCGCUACAUGUUGCCAAUUGCUAAAUCCAACAAAUAGAGCCUGCCCCCAGCUUCCUGAUCGGCUGGGUUGCCACAUGGCUCCAUUACAAAUGCCUCUUAAAAAGAUUGUCUACAAAUUGCCAGGGGCUAAAGCCUCGAGGGAUCCACUGUCUGCUGCCAGAUCCUUCUGAGGGGUCCCUUCAGCUGACAGAUCCAUGGUAGGGAUCUACGGAGGAUGCGGCCAGUAGCCAGAUGCCCCCAAAGGGAACCGCUGUUAAUGACUUCUCAGUUGCUUUUGCUCCAGUUCCCCUGAAGGCAUCACAGCUGUUCGUAGGAUUAGAGUAGGGAGGCUUGAGAGCCAGGACUCCUCAGUUCUAUCCCCAGUUCUGGGAGCGGAGGAGGGGCCUAGUGUGUUACAACAGGGGAGCAAGGAGUAAGGGAUCUUGGGUUCUAGCCCCAGCUCUGGGAGGGCAGUGGGGCCAAGUGGUUAAAGCAGGAAGGCUGGGAGUAGAGAGCCCUGAGUCCCUUCACAGACUCACAAUGUGAAACUGGGCAAGUCCUUUCCCCUCUCUGUGCCUCAGUUUCCCCAACUGUAAAUGGAUAAAAUUAGGGUCCCAUCUCCCAGGGCUGUCAUGAAGCUUAAUGAAAGUGUUAAUUAGUUAAUAAUUAUUAACACUGGAAAACUUUGAUUCUAAACUUUCCCUGACCUGAAUCUGGUGCUCUUAUUUUAAAAUUAUAUUAGAACCUGGAGGGCCAGCUGAGAUCAGGGCCCCGUUGUGCCAGGCGCUGCACAGACACACAGCGAGAGACAGUCCCUGCCCUAGCUGAGAUCAGGGCUCUGCUGUGCCGGGUGCUGCACAGACACAGUGAGAGACAGUCUCUGACCCAGCUGAGAUCAGGGCCCCGUUGCGCCCUGCCUCAAAGAACCGACAAUCAGACCAGGCAGAUAAGGGAAGGAGUGUUCUCCCCAUUUUACAGAUGGGGAAACAGGCCAGAGAAAUUAAUGCCUAGAUCCUCAAAGGUAUGUAGAGGUGUACCUGUGAUGAAGUGGGAAUGUUCUAUAGUAGUUAUAUGAGGCAUAUGCCUCAGUUUCCCCAUCCUCAGUGCUCCCCGUCAAUACCGUGACAGCGGCAGCCUUUUCCAAACAAGGGAACCAUUGGUUAGUCACCCGGCACAUGGCAGCUGGAGGAUCUUAGGUCAGCGUGGAGGAAAGCAGGUUCAAGCACAGUGAACUCCAUGGUCAGGCUCUGUCUCUCUCAAGCCGACCUCCUUCCUCCGCUCCCAGCUUCCUCCAGAAGCCAGCACUCCUCCCCCACCUCUCCAGGGCCGUCCGGGCGGGUGGGGGGGUGUGAGUGGGGCAAUUUGCCCCAGGCCCCGCAGGGGCCCCCAUGAGAAUAUAGUAUUCUAUAAUAUUGCUAGUUUUUAAUUUAUGGAAAGGGCCCCCGAAAUUGCUUUGCCCCAGGCCCCCUGAAUCCUCUGGGCGGCCCUGCACCUCUCGCUCGUUUGUUCUGGGCUUUUUGCUCAGCUUCCUGGCAGGGAGGCGGGGAAAUCCAUGAAGCCCUGGAGCUCGGUUCUCUCUCGCUGCCCCCCUUGUUAAUCUGGGUCAGUUUCCACCAGUUCCUUAAGGGCUCUUGGUUCCACCCAGGCAGGGAGGGGAGCCCCACCUAUGUCUCUUAGCCUGCCCUGAGAGCAAACUUAAAUCGGUGUUCCUCCACUGGGUACCAGUGCCACGUGCAGGGGAAACUGAGGCAUGCAGGCCUCCAUACAAAUACUAGGGAAAGUCCCCACUCCGUCACAAUGCCCAUUGAACUCACUAGCUGUUAUGCGCCUAGAUGCCUGGGAGGAUCUGCACCUCCAGGACUUGCCGAAGGUCACACCCCCUCAGUGGCAGAGCUGGGAACACCUGGUUCCCAGCCCAGGGCCUUGUCCACCAGCCUUCCAGCGCACCGCUAGCUUACUGGGUUGACAGUGUCUCGCUCUGAUCUCUGUCCCCGUUUGUCCCCCCCCAGCUGCCCAGGGCUCUGAGCUGCCUUCGGUCGUUAGCGUUGAACGCGGGAACAUGAGCUUUUGUUUACAUUUCAAUAAAGUUUGGAGUUUUUUUUAUUAUUAUUCAAAACCUUCCUCGGACGCCUUUGUCGUUUAUUGUUGCA